This 475-nucleotide ribosomal RNA is filed under the name Streptococcus iniae. Its description in RNAcentral is "bacterial SSU rRNA". It matches the Rfam family "Bacterial small subunit ribosomal RNA", at positions 34 to 491 of the family's 1533-position model. Lineage: Bacteria; Bacillati; Bacillota; Bacilli; Lactobacillales; Streptococcaceae. The record is from RNAcentral.
CGCUGGCGGCGUGCCUAAUACAUGCAAGUAGAACGCUGAGGAUUGGUGCUUGCACUAAUCCAAAGAGUUGCGAACGGGUGAGUAACGCGUAGGUAACCUACCUCAUAGCGGGGGAUAACUAUUGGAAACGAUAGCUAAUACCGCAUGAYACUAGAGUACACAUGUACUUAAGUUAAAAGGAGCAAUUGCUUCACUAUGAGAUGGACCUGCGUUGUAUUAGCUAGUUGGUGAGGUAACGGCUCACCAAGGCGACGAUACAUAGCCGACCUGAGAGGGUGAUCGGCCACACUGGGACUGAGACACGGCCCAGACUCCUACGGGAGGCAGCAGUAGGGAAUCUUCGGCAAUGGACGGAAGUCUGACCGAGCAACGCCGCGUGAGUGAAGAAGGUUUUCGGAUCGUAAAGCUCUGUUGUUAGAGAAGAACGGUAAUGGGAGUGGAAAAUCCAUUACGUGACGGUAACUAACCAGAAAGG